GAACGACUGCUAAGACUGGAUAGGAAGAUAAAAGGCAUCUUUUAUCUUUUAAAAGACCUAGUAAUAGGUAUGCUUUAGGAGGGGCUUGCGCCAUAUUAGUUAGUUGGUAGGGUAAUGGCCUACCAAGACGAUGAUGUGUAGCUGGACUGAGAGGUUGAACAGCCACAUUGGGACUGAGACACGGCCCAAACUCCUACGGGAGGCAGCAGUAGGGAAUUUUCGGCAAUGGAGGAAACUCUGACCGAGCAACGCCGCGUGAAUGACGAAGUACUUCGGUAUGUAAAGUUCUUUUAUCAAGGAAGAGAAGCAAAUGGCGAACCAUUUGUUUGCCGGUACUUGAUGAAUAAGCCCCGGCUAAUUAUGUGCCAGCAGCCGCGGUAAGACAUAAGGGGCAAGUGUUAUCCGGAAUUAUUGGGCGUAAAGGGUGCGUAGGCGGUCUAGUAAGUCAGUGGUGUAAUGGCAACGCUUAACGUUGUCCGGCUAUUGAAACUGCUAAACUUGAGUUAGAUAGAGGCGAGUGGAAUUCCAUGUGUAGCGGUAAAAUGCGUAAAUAUAUGGAGGAACACCAGAGGCGUAGGCGGCUCGCUGGGUCUUAACUGACGCUGAGGCACGAAAGCGUGGGGAGCAAACAGGAUUAGAUACCCUGGUAGUCCACGCCGUAAACGAUGAGUACUAAGUGUCGGGUUAAACCGGUACUGAAGUUAACACAUUAAGUACUCCGCCUGAGUAGUACGUACGCAAGUAUGAAACUUAAAGGAAUUGACGGGACUCCGCACAAGCGGUGGAUCAUGUUGUUUAAUUCGAAGAUACCCGAAAAACCUUACCAGGUCUUGACAUGUUUUUGCAAAAUGAUAGUAAUAUCGUGGAGGUUACCAGAAACACAGGUGGUGCAUGGUUGUCGUCAGCUCGUGUCGUGAGAUGUUAGGUUAAGUCCUAAAACGAGCGAAACCCUUAUCGUUAGUUGCCAGCACGUUAUGGUGGGGACUUUAACGAGACUGCCAAUGAUAAAUUGGAGGAAGGUGAGGAUCACGUCAAAUCAGCAUGCCCCUUAUGACCUGGGCUACAAACGUGAUACAAUGGCUGUUACAAGGGGUAGCUGAAACGCAAGUUCUUGGCCAAUCCCCAAAAACAGUCCCAGUCCGGAUUGAAGUCUGCAACUCGACUUCAUGAAGUUGGAAUCGCUAGUAAUCGCGAAUCAGCAUGUCGCGGUGAAUACGUUCUCGGGGUUUGUACACACCGCCCGUCA
RNAcentral lists this ribosomal RNA (1246 nucleotides) under uncultured bacterium. Its description in RNAcentral is "bacterial SSU rRNA". It matches the Rfam family "Bacterial small subunit ribosomal RNA", at positions 154 to 1399 of the family's 1533-position model. The record is from RNAcentral.